AGGCCUUUGGGCUGUAAACCUCUUUUCUCAAGGAAGAAGAUCUGACGGUACUUGAGGAAUAAGCCACGGCUAAUUCCGUGCCAGCAGCCGCGGUAAUACGGGAGUGGCAAGCGUUAUCCGGAAUUAUUGGGCGUAAAGCGUCCGCAGGCGGCCGUUUAAGUCUGUUGUUAAAUCGUGGAGCUCAACUCCAUCACGGCAAUGGAAACUGUUCGGCUUGAGUAUGGUAGGGGCAGAGGGAACUUCCGGUGUAGCGGUGAAAUGCGUAGAUAUCGGGAAGAACACCAGUGGCGAAAGCGCUCUGCUGGGCCAUUACUGACGCUCAUGGACGAAAGCCAGGGGAGCGAAAGGGAUUAGAUACCCC
RNAcentral lists this ribosomal RNA (361 nucleotides) under Candidatus Synechococcus spongiarum. RNAcentral describes it as "bacterial SSU rRNA". It matches the Rfam family "Bacterial small subunit ribosomal RNA", at positions 412 to 788 of the family's 1533-position model. Lineage: Bacteria; Bacillati; Cyanobacteriota; Cyanophyceae; Synechococcales; Synechococcaceae. The record is from RNAcentral.